This 435-nucleotide ribosomal RNA is filed under the name uncultured bacterium. RNAcentral describes it as "partial 16S ribosomal RNA". It matches the Rfam family "Bacterial small subunit ribosomal RNA", at positions 29 to 507 of the family's 1533-position model. The record is from RNAcentral.
AGCGAACGCUGGCGGCAGGCUUAACACAUGCAAGUCGAGCGGGCACUUUCGGGUGUCAGCGGCGGACGGGUGAGUAACGCGUGGGAACGUGCCCUCUGGUUCGGAAUAACUCAGGGAAACUUGAGCUAAUACCGGAUACGCCCUUUUGGGGAAAGGCUUGCUGCCGGAGGAUCGGCCCGCGUCUGAUUAGCUAGUUGGUGAGGUAACGGCUCACCAAGGCGACGAUCAGUAGCUGGUCUGAGAGGAUGAUCAGCCACACUGGGACUGUGACACGGCCCAGACUCCUACGGGAGGCAGCAGUGGGGAAUAUUGGACAAUGGGCGCAAGCCUGAUCCAGCCAUGCCGCGUGAGUGAUGAAGGCCUUAGGGUUGUAAAGCUCUUUUAUCCGGGACGAUAAUGACGGUACCGGAGGAAUAAGCCCCGGCUAACUUCGUG